AACAAAAAAACACCCUGAAAGUCAGACCUGAACCACUGACACUGUCCCAUCAGAUUCACAAAGGAGUCCUCAGAGAAAAACGAAAAUAUUCUAGGUCCUUGACAAGAAAAAGCAGAGUCCAACUUUGAUACCAAUGUUAAGGUGGCAAAUUGGUUUUUAGUUUUCAUUUGAGUUGGGUGAAUGUUAACUGCAGAAAUAACUAGGGAUGAGUCACAUUUGCAGAGUGGCCUUCUUGACAGGGUUGUUAAUGUCCUAUGCUGAUUUUACUUCUACUUUCCAUGGGCUUGCAGUAAAUUCCUUCUGUGACAUAGAAAGACUCAACGAGGGAUGUCCUCCUUCCUCUCUGGCUAAGCUUGUCACCAUUUUACUUCGGUUUCCCUUCAGACUUCACCAAGGCCCCUGCACAUUGACUGUGGGAAGUAUUUAUGAUAAGCCCAUGAAAAGUCCAUGGAAAGAAAGAACCUGGUGACAAAGAGUAUCUUAAAAGAAAAUCCUACUUUCUGGAGCCACUGUUUCCACAUAGGUCAAAAGUACUGGCCCAAGCUUGUGAAAUCCAGCAGAGAGCACUUACUGUAGUCCACGUCGUCCUCAGGCAGUGAGGCCGCAUAGUCAAAGUAGGUGGCAUUCCACCGGAGCUCUCGGGUUUUGGUGUCGUACAUGGUGAUGGUGUAUUCUAAAGAACACAGACCAGCCAGCCCAUUACCACGGAGGGGCCAUAGUACCUACUGAGGUGUGGUCCUUAUCUAAUUAUAACAAACAAAUCCUCCCUAAACUGUAGGCCAAAAAGUCCAGACUAUCCAUGUCGAUAGAGAAAGGCAAUGUGAGGAGAACUGAAGGCCCAGACACAUGAGUGAAACUGGCUGACAGCAUGUGGAAGCAGAGACGACCCACCCUCGCUAUGCCCUUGGACUCAUGGCUCACAGAAGUGUCUCCGAUCAAGAGGUGCCACACUUGAGGAGCAUCAUCUACCUCCAGACCUCAUGCAGAUAAUGAGAGGUGAGAUUUUGGGACUGAUGCUGGGAUUGGACUUUGGGGGUCUUUGGAGGGAGUGGGAGGGUUGUAAACUACUGCAGCCUGAGGGAGGACUGCAGUAGAACAUCUCUAAAGGUCACUACCACCAAUUCUUCCCAUUCCUGUAAUGCAUGUUACUCUUCCCAUCAAGAAGCCGAGUCUAUAUCUCUACCCUUGAUUCUCAGCUGGCCUUGAGACUUGCUUUGACCAACAGACUGCAGUGGAAGGAAGGUUCUGGAACUUUUGAGCCCAGACCUUAGGAGGCACUGUAACACCCAUUUUUACUCAAGAGGGAGCCCGCUGCCAUAUCAAGAGUCCAGGCUAUCUGUAUGGAGAAAGGUCACACGGAACUGAACUGAAGUCUCAGAUACAUGAGUGAGGCCAACCAAGCAUGUGGAAUAAAGAUGAUGGGUUCUUGUUGAG
Long non-coding RNA from Homo sapiens (human), 1434 nucleotides. The record is from Ensembl. Lineage: Eukaryota; Metazoa; Chordata; Mammalia; Primates; Hominidae.